RNAcentral lists this ribosomal RNA (896 nucleotides) under Apheloria clade A PEM-2009. Its description in RNAcentral is "partial large subunit ribosomal RNA". The record is from RNAcentral. Lineage: Eukaryota; Metazoa; Arthropoda; Diplopoda; Polydesmida; Xystodesmidae.
AGUACCUUUUGUAUUAGGGUUGAUUUAUGUGGUUUUGCUUUUGUUAUUUCUCGAUGAGUAUCGGGCUAUUUUUCUUUGGUUUAUUCUCGUUGUAUAGAGUUGAAUAGAGGAUUAUAGGUAUGAAAUAUUAUUCAAGUUGCUUUUUAUCUGGUUCUUCAAGAAAUUUAACGGUCGGUAGUAUUAUUAGGACUAUAAACAGGGAUUAGCUUGUUUAUUUUUUAUAUUUAGUUUAGGUUGUAGUUUGUUUGUUAAGUUGAUAGUGCUUAUUUUAAUGGAGUUAUUAUUGAGCAGGUUGGCUUUAUUAUUUUUUGUUUUUAUUUUUGUAUUAAGGUUAUUUUAUUAAUUUUUAGUGUUUUGUAAUAAUGAUUAUAUUAGUAAUAAUUUUUGUUAUUUUUUUAGCUUUUCUGGUUUUAUUGCUAAUUUGGUGGUAUUUUAAAUUAGAAUUGAUGAAUUAGGCAAUAUGAACUUCUGACUGUUUAGCAAAGACAUUGUUUUUUGUUGUGAUAAAAAAUAAGUUCUGUCCGCUGCUAUUAGGUGAAGGGCUGCAGUAUUUUGACUGUAUGAAGGUAGCAUAAUCAUUAGCUUUUUAAUUAGAAGCUGGUAUGAAGGUGAAACAGGGGUUUGCUGUAUUUUUUCUAUUUAUUGAAUUUUAUUUUCAUGUGAAAAAUCAUGAUUUAUUUAGUGGGACAAGAAGACCCUAAUAAGUUUUAUUUUUUUUUCUUAAUGCGUGUAUAGUUUUGGAUUUAUGCAAUUUAUUUGGGGGAGUUUGGCUGGGGCGGCAGUUUAUUUGACAUAGAUUAAUUUUUAACUUUUUGUGGCGAUUGUUUGGACCUAGUUUGUUUAGAUUAGAGUUAAAUUACUGUAGGGAUAACAGCGUGAUUUUUUUUGAGAGUUCU